CCUGGUGGCUCAGAGGGUAAAGCGUCUGCCUGCAAUGUGGGAGACCUGGGUUCAAUCCCUGCGUCAGGA
Molecule: transfer RNA, 69 nt
Filed under: Ovis aries (sheep)
Lineage: Eukaryota; Metazoa; Chordata; Mammalia; Artiodactyla; Bovidae
Rfam family: tRNA
About the family: Transfer RNA (tRNA) molecules are approximately 80 nucleotides in length. Their secondary structure includes four short double-helical elements and three loops (D, anti-codon, and T loops).
Source: Rfam by way of RNAcentral